RNAcentral lists this transfer RNA (84 nucleotides) under Cereibacter sphaeroides. Its description in RNAcentral is "Rhodobacter sphaeroides tRNA-Leu". It matches the Rfam family "tRNA". From Rfam's summary of the family: Transfer RNA (tRNA) molecules are approximately 80 nucleotides in length. Their secondary structure includes four short double-helical elements and three loops (D, anti-codon, and T loops). Lineage: Bacteria; Pseudomonadati; Pseudomonadota; Alphaproteobacteria; Rhodobacterales; Paracoccaceae. The record is from RNAcentral.
GCGGGUGUGGCGGAAUGGUAGACGCAGGGGUCUCAAACACCCCCACCGCAAGGUGUGUCGGUUCGACUCCGACCACCCGCACCA